CAGCCCUCAUCACUCCGCACUCUUCCCCCCAGCCCACUGAUAGCAACCAUCAUAAUGCCCCACCCAGCUUCCGGCACCUUUCGCCACUCCGGCACAAACCGACACAGCUUUGCGAUCUCGCCAGCAUGCAGAGUCUGAUGUCUUCCCUAUAGAUGAUUCCAGACUCUGUGAGGCCACUAUUACAAGGUGAGACGCUUUGCGUUGAUUGGUGCUGCUGGACCACACUGGAGGUGCGAGUCCGCCGUGUAAUGGUUUAUGCCAUUACAAAGGAGCUGGCCUCUGUACUCAACUGGGCAGGGGAAAAAAACCAAGGACCAGACAAAGCAAAAAGGGCAUUUAAAGAGACAGCGCUGUGCAGAUGCAUAUUUG
Long non-coding RNA from Oreochromis aureus, 369 nucleotides. The record is from Ensembl. Lineage: Eukaryota; Metazoa; Chordata; Actinopteri; Cichliformes; Cichlidae.